RNAcentral lists this ribosomal RNA (253 nucleotides) under uncultured bacterium. Its description in RNAcentral is "partial 16S ribosomal RNA". It matches the Rfam family "Bacterial small subunit ribosomal RNA", at positions 524 to 776 of the family's 1533-position model. The record is from RNAcentral.
UACGAAGGGGGCUAGCGUUGUUCGGAAUUACUGGGCGUAAAGCGCACGUAGGCGGAUUUGUUAGUCAGGGGUGAAGUCCCGGGGCUCAACCUCGGAACUGCCUUUGAUACUGCAAGUCUAGAGUCCGGAAGAGGUGAGUGGAAUUCCUAGUGUAGAGGUGAAAUUCGCAGAUAUUAGGAAGAACACCAGUGGCGAAGGCGGCUCACUGGUCCGGUACUGACGCUGAGGUGCGAAAGCGUGGGGAGUAAACAGG